GACGAACGCUGGCGGCGUGCCUAAUACAUGCAAGUUGAGCGCUGAAGGUUGGUACUUGUACCAACUGGAUGAGCAGCGAACGGGUGAGUAACGCGUGGGGAAUCUGCCUUUGAGCGGGGGACAACAUUUGGAAACGAAUGCUAAUACCGCAUAAAAACUUUAAACACAAGUUUUAAGUUUGAAAGAUGCAAUUGCAUCACUCAAAGAUGAUCCCGCGUUGUAUUAGCUAGUUGGUGAGGUAAAGGCUCACCAAGGCGAUGAUACAUAGCCGACCUGAGAGGGUGAUCGGCCACAUUGGGACUGAGACACGGCCCAAACUCCUACGGGAGGCAGCAGUAGGGAAUCUUCGGCAAUGGACGAAAGUCUGACCGAGCAACGCCGCGUGAGUGAAGAAGGUUUUCGGAUCGUAAAACUCUGUUGGUAGAGAAGAACGUUGGUGAGAGUGGAAAGCUCAUCAAGUGACGGUAACUACCCAGAAGGGGACGGCUAACUACGUG
Molecule: ribosomal RNA, 497 nt
Filed under: uncultured bacterium
Lineage: Bacteria
Description: partial 16S ribosomal RNA
Rfam family: Bacterial small subunit ribosomal RNA
Source: RNAcentral